AUGGGUUCUUGCGUGUCGACCACGAGGCGGCGGCGGAGGUCCUCCAGGAAGCUGUCGGCCACGGCGACCAAGUUCCGCCGCAAGGUGUCCGCCGCGAUCGCCGGCGACGCGGCCGGCCGCUUCGCCGCGCGCCACGGGGUCGUCCGCGUCGACGGCGCGCCGCCGGCCUCGGGCGUCACGCUCCACCUCACGCAGCUGCAGUGGCAGCACAGCCAGAUGGACGCAGGGAAUGUGAUCUGCGACGAGGCGUGGUACGACUCCGUCAGCAUGCUGGGAGACUCGGCCGGCUCCGACGACGACGACAACGAUUACUCCAGCGUCAGUGGAGAUCCUCUCCCGGAGGACGCCGCCGGCGGCACGAGCGCGUCGCCGUGCAAGGACGCGGCGUGCCUGGCGGACGCCGUGCAGCGCCUCCGGAGCAUCGCGGACGCGGAGGCGUGCCAGGGCGACCCCCCGGGGAAAAGCGAGGACCCCGACGCUGCUCCUGCUCCUGGUCAUGCCGCUGCCGGUGGCCUGAAAGAACCGCAGAGCGCGGCGUCCUGCUCGCCUCGGCCUCUCCCGGGCUCCGUCCCGAGCCACAAGGUGCAGCCGAUGCCGGUCGCCGGGUUCAGCCCGCACCACCAGAGGAAGAAAUCGGCCGUCGUCAGGCUCUCCUUCCGGAGGAGGUCGUACGAGGGCGAUGAGAUGACCGAAAUGACUGGCUCGGCCAAGUACCUGUACCGGCCGAGAGCGGGCCUGACGCUGCCGUGUGCGGCCGGCGAGAAGCCGUCGGAGGGCUGCUGGUCGGUCCUCGAGCCGUCGGUGUUCAGGGUCAGAGGGGAGGGUUUCUUCAGAGACAAGAGGAAAUCCCCAGCCCCAAACUGCUCCCCCUACACCCCGAUCGGAGCUGACAUGUUUGCCUGCCCAAGGAAGGUGCACCACAUUGCGCAGCACAUCGCGCUCCCGUCGCUCAAGCCCCACGACUCCUUCCCUUCGCUCCUCAUUGUCAACAUUCAGUUGCCUACCUACCCUACUACCAUGUUCGGCGAGAACGACGGCGACGGGGUUAGCCUGGUCCUGUAUUUCAAGAUAUCCGAUAGCUUCGACAAGGAGAUCUCUCCUCAGCUCAAGGACAGCAUCAAGAGUGUUAUGAACGAGGAAAUGGAGAAGGUCAAGGGGUUCCCGGUGGACAGCAACGUGCCCUACACAGAGAGGCUGAAAAUCCUGGCCGGCAUUGUAAACCCUGAAGACCUGCAGCUCAGCGCGGCCGAGAGGAGGCUUGUGCAGACCUACAACCAGAAGCCCGUGCUGUCUAGGCCCCAGCACAAAUUCUACAAGGGCUCGAACUACUUCGAGAUCGACAUCGACGUGCACCGGUUCAGCUACAUAUCGCGGAAGGGCCUUGAGACCUUCCGAGAGCGGCUGAAACAUGGUGUCAUCGAUCUUGGGCUGACCAUUCAGGUACUUAAUAUUUCCCCUCUGUUCUUGGCCUUGGGACCUGUUGUCAUGAGGAGUAUUUUGUUGGCUGAAAGUCUGAACCUUGUCGUCUGGGUGCAGGCACAGAAGGCUGAGGAGCUACCUGAGCAUGUGUUGUGCUGCAUGAGGCUGAACAAGUUGGAUUUUGCGGACAACGGGCAAAUACCGACGCUCAUAACCUCCAGCGAUGAAUGA
RNAcentral lists this ribosomal RNA (1650 nucleotides) under Triticum aestivum (bread wheat). Its description in RNAcentral is "partial small subunit ribosomal RNA". Lineage: Eukaryota; Viridiplantae; Streptophyta; Magnoliopsida; Poales; Poaceae. The record is from RNAcentral.